Molecule: non-coding RNA, 96 nt
Organism: Asterophora parasitica
Lineage: Eukaryota; Fungi; Basidiomycota; Agaricomycetes; Agaricales; Lyophyllaceae
Source: the annotation of a GenBank genome assembly
UCUUUGCUAGUAUAUCGGUUAGUACACGCGCCUGUCAUCACAAGACUUGACCACUGUAGGUCGCGCGAAAGCUGGGUUCGACUCCCAGGCAGAGAG